GGAAUAUUGCGCAAUGGGGGAAACCCUGACGCAGCGACGCCGCGUGAGUGAGGAAGGCCUUCGGGUCGUAAAGCUCUGUCAGAUGGGAAGAAAUGUAUAUGAGUUAAUACCUCCUAUAUUUGACGGUACCAUCAAAGGAAGCACCGGCUAACUCCGUGCCAGCAGCCGCGGUAAUACGGAGGGUGCAAGCGUUGUUCGGAAUCACUGGGCGUAAAGGGCGCGCAGGCGGUCUGUCAAGUCAGAUGUGAAAGCCCACGGCUUAACCGUGGAAGUGCAUUUGAAACUGGCAGUCUUGAGUAUCAGAGGGGAAGGUGGAAUUCCCGGUGUAGAGGUGAAAUUCGUAGAUAUCGGGAGGAAUACCGGUGGCGAAGGCGACUUUCUGGCUGAAUACUGACGCUGAGGCGCGAAAGCGUGGGGAGCAAACAGGAUUA
RNAcentral lists this ribosomal RNA (431 nucleotides) under uncultured Desulfobulbaceae bacterium. Its description in RNAcentral is "bacterial SSU rRNA". It matches the Rfam family "Bacterial small subunit ribosomal RNA", at positions 358 to 780 of the family's 1533-position model. Lineage: Bacteria; Pseudomonadati; Thermodesulfobacteriota; Desulfobulbia; Desulfobulbales; Desulfobulbaceae. The record is from RNAcentral.